Molecule: ribosomal RNA, 485 nt
Filed under: uncultured bacterium
Lineage: Bacteria
Description: bacterial SSU rRNA
Rfam family: Bacterial small subunit ribosomal RNA
Source: RNAcentral
CGAGUUUGAUCAUGGCUCAGAAUCAACGCUGGCGGCGUGCCUCAGACAUGCAAGUCGAACGAUUAAAGCUCUCUUCGGAGAGUGUAUAGAGUGGCGCACGGGUGAGUAACACGUAAGUAAUCUACCCUCGAGUGGGGAAUAACAACCGGAAACGGUUGCUAAUACCGCAUAAUGCAGCGGCACCGCAAGGUGACAGUUGUUAAAGAUUUAUCGCUUGAGGAGGAGCUUGCGGCAGAUUAGUUAGUUGGUAGGGUAACGGCUUACCAAGGCUACGAUCUGUAACCGGUCUAAGAGGACGGUCGGUCACACUGACACUGAAUAACGGGUCAGACUCCUACGGGAGGCAGCAGUCGGGAAUUUUGGGCAAUGGGCGAAAGCCUGACCCAGCAACGCCGCGUGAAGGAUGAAGUAUUUCGGUAUGUAAACUUCGAAAGAAUAGGAAGAAUUAAUGACGGUACUAUUUAUAAGGUCCGGCUAACUACGUG